Molecule: transfer RNA, 88 nt
Filed under: Sphenostylis stenocarpa
Lineage: Eukaryota; Viridiplantae; Streptophyta; Magnoliopsida; Fabales; Fabaceae
Description: tRNA gene-AYBTSS11_LOCUS13182
Rfam family: tRNA
About the family: Transfer RNA (tRNA) molecules are approximately 80 nucleotides in length. Their secondary structure includes four short double-helical elements and three loops (D, anti-codon, and T loops).
Source: RNAcentral
CCGACCUUAGCUCAGUUGGUAGAGCGGAGGACUGUAGUUAUUGGAACAGAUAAUCCUUAGGUCGCUGGUUCGAAUCCGGCAGGUCGGA